Molecule: ribosomal RNA, 301 nt
Filed under: uncultured bacterium
Lineage: Bacteria
Description: partial 16S ribosomal RNA
Rfam family: Bacterial small subunit ribosomal RNA
Source: RNAcentral
CAGUCGCCACGGUAAUACGUAGGUGGCAAGCGUUGUCCGGAAUUAUUGGGCGUAAAGGGCUCGCAGGCGGUUUCUUAAGUCUGAUGUGAAAGCCCCCGGCUCAACCGGGGAGGGUCAUUGGAAACUGGGAAACUUGAGUGCAGAAGAGGAGAGUGGAAUUCCACGUGUAGCGGUGAAAUGCGUAGAGAUGUGGAGGAACGCCAGUGGCGAAGGCGACUCUCUGGUCUGUAACUGACGCUGAGGAGCGAAAGCGUGGGGAGCGAACAGGAUUAGAUACCCCCGUAGUCCCUGUCUCUUAUAC